GACGGAGGGGGCGAGCGUUGUUCGGAAUUACUGGGCGUAAAGGGCGCGCAGGCGGUCAUGCAAGUCUGGGGUAAAAGCCCACGGCUUAACCGUGGAAUUGCCUUCGAAACUGCAUGACUUGAGUACGGGAGAGGAGAGCGGAAUUCCCAGUGUAGCGGUGAAAUGCGUAGAUAUUGGGAGGAACACCAGUGGCGAAGGCGGCCCUCUGGUCCGAUACUGACGCUGAGGCGCGAAAGCUUGGGGAGCAAACGGG
RNAcentral lists this ribosomal RNA (253 nucleotides) under uncultured bacterium. RNAcentral's name for it is "partial 16S ribosomal RNA". It matches the Rfam family "Bacterial small subunit ribosomal RNA", at positions 524 to 776 of the family's 1533-position model. The record is from RNAcentral.